This 197-nucleotide ribosomal RNA is filed under the name uncultured bacterium. RNAcentral's name for it is "partial 16S ribosomal RNA". It matches the Rfam family "Bacterial small subunit ribosomal RNA", at positions 335 to 524 of the family's 1533-position model. The record is from RNAcentral.
ACUCCUACGGGAGGCAGCAGUGGGGAAUUUUGGACAAUGGGCGAAAGCCUGAUCCAGCCAUGCCGCGUGCAGGAUGAAGGCCUUCGGGUUGUAAACUGCUUUUGUACGGAACGAAAAGGUUUGGCCUAAUAAGCUGAGCUCAUGACGGUACCGUAAGAAUAAGCACCGGCUAACUACGUGCCAGCAGCCGCGGUAAU